CGGCGUCACGAGUGGCAAUCACAUUUAUUGGGUCUAAAGCGUUCGUAGCCGGUUUAGUAAAUCUUUUGUGAAAUUGUCGGGCUUAACCUGACAGCGUGCAGAAGACACUGCUAAACUUGAGACCGGGAGGGGUUAGAAGUAUUUCAGGGAGAGCGGUAAAAUGUUAUAAUCCCUGAAAGACUACCAAUGGCGAAGGCAUCUAACCAGAACGGAUCUGACGGUGAGGAACGAAGGCCAGGGGAGCGAACCGGAUUAGAUACCCGAGUAGUCC
Molecule: ribosomal RNA, 271 nt
Filed under: uncultured archaeon
Lineage: Archaea
Description: partial 16S ribosomal RNA
Rfam family: Archaeal small subunit ribosomal RNA
Source: RNAcentral